Molecule: transfer RNA, 88 nt
Filed under: compost metagenome
Description: tRNA-Gly
Source: RNAcentral
CAGCGCUGCGCGCGCGGCGGCCGCGCGGACCAGGCUGCCGAUCUGGUGCAAUGGCUGACGGCGGUGGUCCAGCAUCCGCUGGCGCCGC